RNAcentral lists this ribosomal RNA (253 nucleotides) under uncultured bacterium. RNAcentral describes it as "partial 16S ribosomal RNA". It matches the Rfam family "Bacterial small subunit ribosomal RNA", at positions 524 to 776 of the family's 1533-position model. The record is from RNAcentral.
UACGUAGGUGGCAAGCGUUGUCCGGAUUUACUGGGUGUAAAGGGCGUGUAGCCGGGCUGACAAGUCAGAUGUGAAAUUCCGGGGCUCAACCCCGGACCUGCAUUUGAAACUGUUGGUCUUGAGUAUCGGAGAGGCAGGCGGAAUUCCUAGUGUAGCGGCGAAAUGCGUAGAUAUUAGGAGGAACACCAGUGGCGAAGGCGGCCUGCUGGACGACAACUGACGGUGAGGCGCGAAAGCGUGGGGAGCAAACAGG